CCGAUGCUUCUUCUUCUUCCUUUCUCCUCAAUGUUUGUUGCUUCUUCUCUUUGUUUUUUUCUUUUUCCUUUUAUGGGCAUGUAAUGGAUGUGCGUAGUGUUUUUCUUGGGAUUUUUGAGUUCAGGAAAGGGAGAGACUUUACCCCCCACCCCUGCGAUAGCAAACUAAAAGCCAAUUAACAACAGCAGGCUCUCAGUCUCAGUUGAGUUGCUGCUUUGGUUGAGGUCAGAAUAUCGAAAUCCAAAAUUAUACCCCCGUUCAGGUGCCUUAAUUGGAGAAGAGCCGUUGAAGAUAAUAACUACGCAGCCUCAUUUGAUAGGAAUUUUUUAGUUUUGUUCCAGAUUUGAGAGGAUUCAAUAGCUACUUUAUUUCUUCUCUCACAGUUGGAUUCUGUUUGGAUUUUUAUUAUCUCAUUAAGCCAAAUGGAUCUGCAAAUUUGAAUUUCUGAAUAGUGAGAAUCUCUAUCAUAUAUUUGUACAACCCAAUUGACCAUAAAUGGAUUUCGAAGUUCAUUGGUGCUAAGAAAACGAGCCAAAAAGAGUAACGAUGAAGAAAUCGUGAAUGAUCAUCUGUGUUUACUUCAAACAUUUCUUGGUUGGCCCAGCAAUGUUUGUAAGAUACUCUUAAUCCUAUUCCUUCACCCAUCUCCACCUAUCUCUCAACCAACAUUGCCCUCAACAGAUUAACUCAGAUACGGACUAUAUGAAAUCCACAAAAACAGACUGAGAAAUCCAUCCUGAUUGAAUCAUUAAACUCUGUAGAGGCAGAAAAUGGCGACAGAUUAAUUGAGAUAGAAACCCAUCUCCUACAUUCUCUUAAACAACAUUUUUGGACAAACUCAUAGAAUUUUCUUAAUCCUAUUCAUUCACCCAUCUCCUACAUUCUCUUAAACAACAUUUUUGGACUAAAGUCGAGCAAAUUAAUUGAGACAGAGACCAAAUGAAAUCAACCAAUUGAUAUGAAACUUAUGUUCAUUUGCAUUCUGACUCACCCAUUAUUUCUUAUGACCCAUUAUUUAAUGUCCAUUCCAAAUUUGAGAGGAUUCCUCUUCAGAUUAUGGGAUCUCUACAAAGGGGGGAAUUGAUUUAUCCAUAGGCUUUGAGGACACCAGGAGAGGUUGGGAGUAUAGAAAGUUGUUUAUUAAUUUUUGGGUCCACUACUUUUUUUGAUGAAGUUGUCCCCUCAUGCCACUUCUCCCUCCCUCCCUCCCUCUUUUUUAUUUAUUUAUUUAUUUAGAGAACAUUUUAUUGUUGGUUAUGCACUAUGUCUAGGAAUCCUAUUAAUCUUGCACAUCUUAUUGUUAAAUAUUAGGUUACUUUUAUAAUGGAAGCAUGUCAUGCCUUUGAAUAUUUUGUUCUUCUGCUGCUCAUUGUGAACUAAAGGAUAAAUUCUUGAAUUUAUCUAUGCAUAAGUACUUUAAUUGUCAUAACCUUUCUUGUGGGAUGUAUUGCACUAAUGUAAUGUUAAUAUGCUUGAUAGGAUUUAUCCUUUACAUAUUAAUGAGCGAAAAUCUGAAAUUGUAGUUUGUAGUGCAGCAAUAGUGCAAUGGCUAAUAACCAGGUGGUUGCAAAGGAAAAUAAUUUUAAUACCAUAUUUCAUGAAGUUCUCGCUUUUUCAUGUCAUAAUGACAAUGGCUUCUAAUUAUUGGCUUUAAUUACUUCACAUGUUAUGAUGUUAUCAUCUCUCUUCUAUAAGCUUCCACUUUACCUGCAUAGAAACACACAUCAUCAAUAAGACAUCCAAAAGCAGUACAACACCAAUUUGAUGAGAGUAACAUAACCCAAAGACUAUGGCUGCAUUUGGUUUGAAUUCUAGUUCCCAAUUCUGGCCAAUCUCAGAAUUGCAAUUCCGGCUCCAAAUCUAAAAAUCGAAGAAAUGCAUUUGGAUGCACUAUUUGCAAACUUCAAUUAUGAUGCCUAGAAUUUGAGAAUUAUGUUUGUUGGCAUAAUUCUGCUACUAAGAAAUUCUCAACAACUGAUAUGGUAUAUGAGCUCAUACCAUAGAACUGUGUCAAUAAGCAUUGUUAAUGAGCACAAAUAGCUCGUUAACUCGGAAAAUAACAUUGUUCAUAUUAGACUAUUAGUUCAUGGAAUAAAACCGGAUAUGUUCAUAUAAACCAUUCCAAUCCAUCAUACUUUCUUCAUUUACAUUUGACUACUAAUAAAACCACAUAGGUUAAUGAGUCUCUAUCCCUGACUUGAGCAGUAUUAUUCACGAACAAACCCCCCUCCACUUCAAUAUGGACUCCAUCCCGGUCUGAUAUCUAUGCAUAUUAGAUGUUACAAAACAAGAAAAGUCUGGCGGUACAGAUUUUACAACAAAGCAUAUAUAUAUUCAAGGCUAAGAAUCCUUCCUAUGAACUUAAAAACAUUGCCCUUAGAGCUCGUGGGUCUAAUUUUCACCUUAGCAUAGUCGUCACGACAUUAAGGUGACCAAAGGUGUUGGUAGGGGCUCAGACACAAGAUGACACCAACAAGGCACCUCCGCAAUCAAGGCUAUCAAGGCACAUAUACACCUUGACAACUAUGCACCCUAGGCUCAGAAACAUAUAUAAGCCUUAUUUUACUACUGCUCUAGGGAAGAUCCCAACUGGUACUAUGCGCAUAUUACAAUAGAACCAAUAUAAUGCCUAAUUAUCACAAGGCUAGAGGGCAACUACAAGGAGAUAAAUGGGUGGGUUGGUUUAGUUUGAUAAUUUUUAUCUACGAAAUCCUUUCUUCUUUUCCUAACUCUAUAAGUUGAGUUUUUGAAAGGCAUUCUUGUGUUGUCAUUGUUAGCCACAAAACUCAUGGUUAAUGUCGCUGUGUACAGAGCACACAACACACAGAGCAUGACAUAGUGGUGCCCUCUUGGGAUUCCCUACUAAUUCUGUUUUGUUACAAUGAUUUCACGAACAAAGUCUUUCUUUCAACUGUAGAUCCCCAAAAGUUUACAUUUUGAAACCAUGGAGUUGUAGCUGAUAUAGAAACUGGUAUGGAGUUUUGCAACAAAGAAAUUAAGUUAAGGGAUAGUUCCUUCUAUGGAGUUUUAGCUGAUAUAGAAGAUUCAGAGUUUGGGAAGUUGAGCAAUGCCAUCAGGAGCCUUCCAAUUAUUGCAUUGCUUCCCAAGUGGAAGUAUUGUAGACUCAAAAUUCCAAUGAUUGCUGAUUUGGGAGUUGUUCCGAUUCAUGAUAGCUCCAAGAAAGUUGUUUGCGAUGGCAUGGCCAUAUUCAACAAAAGGCCUUGGGAUGCACCCGUAAGGAGGAGUGAUUUGAUUCAUAUUGAAGGAACUAAAAGAGCUAGGUGCAAGCCAAAAAAUACCAUAUAGAAGAAGCAUUGAGGAAAGACAUGCAUAGUUUAGGUCUCCUCCCAAGUAUGACCUUGAAUAGAGCUGAUUGGAGGGCAAGGAUCUAUAUAGCCGACCCUAUUUAGGUGGGAUUUUUCUGAGUUGUGUUGUUGUGUUCCUCCUCUUUAACUUCACUUUUACUAUUAUUUCUUGUCUUUGAUUGGAUCCACGUAGCUGACCCCAUUUAGUUGGGAUAGAGCUGAGUGGCUGUUGUUGUUGAGGGGGGGGGGGGGAGUGUCCCCUAUCGUGGAUUAGUACUUCUAACUAUAGUUUUCUUCUUUAGUUGGGAACUUGGGAUAAGGCUGAGUUGUUGUUAUGGUUGUUCCUAUUUCUGCUAGAUUGUAGUUUCCUAGUAAGGUUGUGCUUCUCAUUUUAUUCUUCUUGCUUAACAAGGAAUCUCUUUCCUUUCUAUUCUUGUUAUUGUGGAGAUAUAUAAAUAUAUGUGGGGGAGGACUGCUGCGAGUAUCAACUGCAGUUACUUGUCAGAAGUCUCUUCUUUCGCUUCUUCUUCCUCACUUCUUCUUUCUCUCUUUGUUGGUUACUGGUUAUUAUUUUUCUGAUAUUAUCACAUUAUCAAUUCCGUAAUCUCUUACGUAAAAGUUACGGAAACUCCAACUUGGGUUACUUUUUCUAUUUUUUCGAUUUUCUUUUUGAUAUCAAAAUUACCGGUUUGUGCAAAAUGUUCCUUUCAAAGCAUCAAGGAUUCUAACAAGCUUUCUUUGCUUCUCCCCACGGUUUCACAAUAUCACAGUUGCACUCAUACACAAACCAGUUUCACACACUAAAGACUGAUUUCUCAGUCAGUUUACAAGGUGUGACAGUCAGAGGGUAAAUCUGAUCAGACUUUCAAGAGGAAAUUUCACUCCCCUCCCCUGACGUUUUUGUUUAUUACACUCCUCUCCCCUUCGAAGUUUAAAAUUACAUAACGUUCCCUUUGAUGUUGUAGAUUCUAUCAAUCGUACCCACGCCAUGAGCUACCCACCGUUAAGUGAUGUCACAAGAUGUAAAAUUGAAUUUUAAAUCCCAAAAUACCCUUACCUUAACGUGAACAUAUCCCCCCCUCUCUCUCUCUCUCUCUGGUAUAAGCCCUGUUAAGGAAUUACCAUAAAAUCCAGACUCACUAGAUUUGUUAAGUUUGAAAGAGACUCUGGAAUGGGACCUGAAAGCUUAUUUGAUUAUAUUAGUAGUCUAUUGAGAUUUUGAAGCAUCCCCAUGCUUACAGGAAUUGAUCCAGAUAAGAGAUUCUCAUGCAAGUUUAUCUCUUCAAGUCUGGACAGCUUACCGAUGCUUUCUGGGACUGGGCCAGUUAGAUUGUUGGUGUAGAGAUAGAGUUUUCCGAGCCUUCGAAGAUGAAAACCGAUCGAUGAUAGGAUGGUUCCAGCAAGACUGAUGAGUCCACCGAGGUCGAGGACUUCAAGAGAGAUGAGAAGUGUUAUGGAAGGAGAUAACCAGCCUUCCAUUUGGGUUUGAGCAAUGAAAUCACUGGUGGAUAAGAAGCCGGGGAGUCGGAUUUCUGCCACCCUUCCAGUCCUGUCGUUGCAUUACACCCCAUCCCACUUGCAGCAGUGUUGGCCAACCCACUUAUCUAGUCGAAUGGAAGUAUCGACGAGAAUUGCAGCCUUGAAACUAGUCAAGGCUAUUAGAUCUUUGAGUUGCACUCCUUACCUAAUAUCCUCUUGCACUCUAUGGUGGGAAUGAAGAUUAUGAUGACAAGAAUCCAGAGCUUGCUGCCCAUAAUUGUCUGCUAAGUGGUUCUUCCUUAGAGCUGGUUGGCUGGUGCUGAUCCAAAAUUCCUAUUACUAAACCCCUUUUUUCGCUAGUCAUGGUGAAAGAAAGGGUUCUGUAAUGGUUUUCAUUAGAGAGAAAGCUGUACAUGCCACCAAUGGCAGCAGUGCUUGCUGUUAACAAACUAAGGUGGAGGACCUCUAAGUUUGUUGUUUGUUCUUUGAAAUAAUUCUCUUUUAUAUUUUUUCAACAUACUGCAUCUUUUAAUGGCUGCUUUGUUAGUAUUCCAUUUUGUUACGUCUCUUUUAACAGUAAAUUCAAUGCAACUUCCCCUUCGUGAGGGCGAGACUGGCUGGUUGGGUUUGGGUUUGGGUUUGCCCAAACCUGAGUGGUCAGUUUAUCCAAGGUUAGCAUCUUGGAUGCCCCCUUAUACUCAACAAAUGGCCCCUAAAAAGGUCGCAAUAGGGUGAGUUGAACGUACAUUGGUGUAAAGAACUGAUUCAAAAAUGAAUCAUGAAUUCUUUCUUUCGCAAACCAUUAUUUAAUGUUUUGGAAAGGCUCCAGUUGUGUUCGUGGCAGAGGUAGCUUGUCUCGCUCGCCGCAUAAACCAGAACAGCGAACGUUUCAUCUUGUUAAUUGGAAUGGACUUUGUAUUCAUAUGUGAAAUGGGGCUGGAAGCAAUGAAGAUCAUUUCUUACCAAGGAAAGAGGCACUUGCAAGUUGCCAAAGCUUGCUUGCACGUUUCAUCUUGUCAAUUGCAAUGGACUUUGUAGCACUUUUUUUUUUUUUUGCUUAAGAUCAGCAAUGAAAUUUUAUUAAAGGAUGAAUGGAAUAAUACAAACGGCAACAACAGAAUGCAGGUCACUACCUUAUAUAAAACUUAGCUUUCCUGGGUUUUGGAACAAAAACAAAUGGCACAGGGAAGUUAGAUUAGUCACUGAUGUUAAGUGUAGUACAUAAAUCUCACAAGUAAUUCCUCUUGUGUUUUUGGACA
This is an RNA transcript of Macadamia integrifolia, 6043 nucleotides long. RefSeq lists it as uncharacterized. The record is from RefSeq and is a predicted model, not a curated record. Lineage: Eukaryota; Viridiplantae; Streptophyta; Magnoliopsida; Proteales; Proteaceae. The transcript is spliced from 2 exons.